This 380-nucleotide ribosomal RNA is filed under the name uncultured eukaryote. RNAcentral describes it as "partial 18S ribosomal RNA". It matches the Rfam family "Eukaryotic small subunit ribosomal RNA", at positions 592 to 976 of the family's 1831-position model. The record is from RNAcentral.
CAAUAGCGUAUAUUAAAGUUGUUGCGGUUAAAAAGCUCGUAGUUGGAUUUCUGCUGAGGACGAUCGGUCCGCCCUCUGGGUGAGUAUCUGGCUCGGCCUUGGCAUCUUCUUGGAGAACGUUACUGCACUUGACUGUGUGGUGCGGUAUCCAGGACUUUUACUUUGAGGAAAUUAGAGUGUUUCAAGCAGGCGCACGCCUUGAAUACAUUAGCAUGGAAUAAUAAGAUAGGACCUUGGUUCUAUUUUGUUGGUUUCUAGAGCUGAGGUAAUGAUUAAUAGGGAUAGUUGGGGGCAUUCGUAUUUAACUGUCAGAGGUGAAAUUCUUGGAUUUGUUAAAGACGGACUACUGCGGAAGCAUUUGCCAAGGAUGUUUUCAUUGA